GUUGUACUGGCGUUGUGGCUUACCAGCUUGAGCCGAUACGUUCUGAACGGGAGCUUACCUACCCUGGCUGUGUGAAGCCCUCAUGGGGUUGCCUGAUGUCAGGGUGCUGCGCCCACCUUCACGUGAAGGGUUCAGUAGAGUAGGUCACAACGCCAGUACAAUU
This 163-nucleotide non-coding RNA is filed under the name Mariprofundaceae bacterium. RNAcentral's name for it is "6S RNA". It matches the Rfam family "6S / SsrS RNA". Rfam says of the family: E. coli 6S RNA was the first non coding RNA to be sequenced, but its function was unknown until recently. It consists of 184 nucleotides that fold into an extended hairpin structure with a large single-stranded internal bulge. The record is from RNAcentral. Lineage: Bacteria; Pseudomonadati; Pseudomonadota; Candidatius Mariprofundia; Mariprofundales; Mariprofundaceae.